CCUACGGGAUGCAGCAGUGGGGAAUAUUGCACAAUGGGGGAAACCCUGAUGCCUCCACGCCGCGUGAGUGAAGAAGUCAUUCGUGAUGUAAAGCUCUAUCAGCAGGGAAGAAAAUGACGUUACCUGACUAAGAAGCCCCGGCUAACUACGUGCCAGCAGCCGAGGUAAGACGGCGGGGGCAAGCGUUAUCCGGAUUUACUGGGUGUAACGGGAGCGUAGACGGCGCCGCAAGUCUGAAGUGAAAUGCCAGUGCUAAACAAUGGAACUGCUUUGGAAACUGUGUGGCUAGAGUGCAGGAGAGGUAAGUGGAAUUCCUAGUGUAGCGGUGAAAUGCGUAGAUAUUAGGAGGAACACCAGUGGCGAAGGCGGCUUACUGGACUGUAACUGACGUUGAGGCUCGAAGGCGUGGGGAGCAAACAGGAUUAGAUACCCCUGUAGUC
RNAcentral lists this ribosomal RNA (440 nucleotides) under uncultured bacterium. Its description in RNAcentral is "partial 16S ribosomal RNA". It matches the Rfam family "Bacterial small subunit ribosomal RNA", at positions 338 to 795 of the family's 1533-position model. The record is from RNAcentral.